Molecule: long non-coding RNA, 716 nt
Organism: Numida meleagris (helmeted guineafowl)
Lineage: Eukaryota; Metazoa; Chordata; Aves; Galliformes; Numididae
Exons: 3
Source: RefSeq, a predicted model, not a curated record
CGAGCCCGCCCCCGGGGGCGGCCCGGCGGCCCUGCAGCCCCACCAGUGGCCGCAGGAGAUGACGGACAGCGCGGGGCCGGCGGCUCUUCCGCUGCCUCUCGCGGUCCUGCUCAGCACCUGGUCCCUACCACAACAGCAACGCCCGCGUAAUACCUGCCAGGCGACUCCCAAAGACCCAGGUCCUGUAAGGGAAUUAAAACGUGAAAGGGAAUAACACUGUGACGGCAGCGCAUGGAAUAUCGGCGAGUGAAAUACGGAUCUCUGGUCACUAUGUUCGUCUGCCUUUGAGGACACAAACCUGGAAACUUCCCACUGAUCUGUGGACAAACAAUGCCUUCCAGCCAGCCACAGUGCAUUCAAGUGUCUGGAAGUCCUCUCAGACACAGUGCUGUGUUAAAGCCACCAGAUGAUCUGCUGAGACUUGAGUGAAGCUUUUCUGGGGACAGCUUCCACUGGCUGCAGGCUGUCACCAUUGAAUACAAUGGAUGCAGAGAGAGGGAAAACCUUUGUCUGCAAAGCACAAACAGGGAGUGCCCCAGAAGGCUGCCUCUCUGCUUCUUGCUGAAACUCCGUGUUGCUGCCAUGCCCUGGUGAUGUCAUGCCCUGGUGGUGCCAUGCACUGAUGGCUCCAGCUGUGGGCAGAACUCAGUUGUCCCAGCUGAUCCCAGCUGUCAGCGAACUGGGAGCUGCUGGCACACCUUGCAUUUCCCACACAC